ACUCAUUCAACCCAAUUCCUCGGCCUUACAGCUUCAUCAGCAGCAUGGAAGCUUACCAAUUAUGGCGAAGGAAUGAUCAUCGGUGUCAUCGAUUCUGGGGUCUGGCCAGAGAGCAAGAGCUACAACGACCAAGGGAUGCCUCCUGUGCCUGCAAGAUGGAGAGGAGAAUGCGAAACAGGAACCCAAUUCAACACAUCUUUGUGCAAUAACAAACUCAUCGGCGCUCUAUCCUUUAAACAAGGUCUCAUUGCUAGAAACAUAACCGUGGGGAUGAACUCACCUCGAGACACAGGCGGCCACGGCACCCACACCUCUAGCACCGCCGCUGGUAACUUCGUCGACGGCGCCUCUUACUUCGGCUACGCUCCGGGGACUCUCAAGGGAGUGGCUCCCAAGGCUCACGUCGCCAUAUACAAGACCCUAUUUGA
This 428-nucleotide long non-coding RNA is filed under the name Linum usitatissimum (flax). RNAcentral's name for it is "long non-coding RNA (LUSI_LNC005246)". Lineage: Eukaryota; Viridiplantae; Streptophyta; Magnoliopsida; Malpighiales; Linaceae. The record is from RNAcentral.